AAUCCUCAUCCUUACUCCAGGAUAUUGUUGUUUGUACUUUUCCUGGCAUUAAUUGAGGAUAAAAUAAAUGCUCUUCUGCCACCGCUGGGAACUUGUUUUUCACAUGGAUGGCUAUGUUGAGCAUACACA
Pseudophryne corroboree (corroboree frog) is the source of this 129-nucleotide small nucleolar RNA. RefSeq annotates it as small nucleolar RNA SNORA49. The transcript has a single exon. The record is from RefSeq and is a predicted model, not a curated record. NCBI's taxonomy places the organism in Eukaryota, Metazoa, Chordata, Amphibia, Anura, Myobatrachidae.